This 382-nucleotide ribosomal RNA is filed under the name uncultured bacterium. Its description in RNAcentral is "bacterial SSU rRNA". It matches the Rfam family "Bacterial small subunit ribosomal RNA", at positions 791 to 1164 of the family's 1533-position model. The record is from RNAcentral.
UAGUCCACGCCGUAAACGAUGUGCACUAGGUCUUGAGAGUUUUGACGCUCACAGGUCCGAAAUGAAAACGAUAAGUGCACCGCCUGGGGAGUACGGUCGCAAGGCUAGAACUCAAAGGAAUUGACGGGGGGCUCACACAAGCGGUGGAGCAUGUGGCUUAAUUCGAAGCAACGCGAAGAACCUUAUCCUGGGUUUGACAUGUAUGGAUUAACUCUCUGAAAGGAGAGCCACGCCCUUUGGGUGGAACAUACACAGAUGCUGCAUGGCUGUCGUCAGCUCGUGCUGUGAAGUGUCGGGUUAAGUCCCUUAACGAGCGAAACCCUUAUCGUUAGUUGCCAGCGCGUAAUGGCGGGGACUCUAGCGAGACUGCCGGUGUUAAAUC